RNAcentral lists this ribosomal RNA (320 nucleotides) under uncultured eukaryote. RNAcentral's name for it is "partial 18S ribosomal RNA". It matches the Rfam family "Eukaryotic small subunit ribosomal RNA", at positions 1470 to 1796 of the family's 1831-position model. The record is from RNAcentral.
CCCCUAGAUGUUCUGGGCCGCACGCGCGCUACACUGAACAGUUCAACAAGUCUUAACCUCGGCCGAUAGGUCUGGGUAAUCUUUGAACGCUGUUCGUGAUUGGGAUAGACCUUUGCAAUUAUGGGUCUUCAACGAGGAAUUCCUAGUAAACGCAAGUCAUCAGCUUGCAUUGAUUACGUCCCUGCCCUUUGUACACACCGCCCGUCGCACCUACCGAUUGAAUGGUCCGGUGAAAUCUCGGGACGGCGGCUUGGUCGCUUGCGUCCGACUGCUGAAACUUGAUUAAACCAUNUNAUUUAANGGAAGGUGAANUCGUANCA